GAGGGAGGGGCGGCACUAGCGUUGCCAUGAUGGGGCAGGCUCGCGUCCCUAGCAGCCUCCCGCCCACGUCAAGGUUUGUUUAAUAAUCGCCGAGGUAUUUAUGGCCAAGGCUCCAGGCAGCGGCUUGGGGAGUCAGGAGUCCGCGCCGGGCAGCGGAUGAGGCGCGGUGGCUGUGGCCCAGGGCACCUCCCCCCCGGCUUCCCUAACCCUGCCCGGUCCAACCCGAGGGGGAGGAUGGAAACUUCAUCUGCGCUCUGAGCCCCCCAGGAAGAUAACACCUUUCCCACCAUAGCAUCUCGAGGUCCUGCGGAGGCUUCCGCCUUGUCUCCUCCAAGUCUCGAUCUCCCAGUGCCGGGCGGAAUCUAAAAGCGAGGAUGGCAGACAACUUGAAGAAACUGGUCUUGAGCGAAACUUUACGAUCACUGCAGGAUAAGAUAGAAUACUGGCUAAAGGAUUUCAACGUGAACUCAUGUGAUCAAAAUCUAAACGCCUGCCUGGAACUCAUUGAGCAAGUUGCCAAACUGCAGGGACAACUUUUUGGGAUCCUCUCUACAGUUGCUCAAGAAGGAGGGAAAUAUGAUGGCAUGGAAGUAAUCAAAUCUCGCCUCUUGCCAUGGCUGGAAUCCACUUUCACUGCUUCUUCCCUGGGAAAACCUGUUGAAAGCAGAACCCUUUCUCUGCAGGAAGCACUUGAUAAGGACAAGAAAGAUACUGUUUUUCGAGAACGUGACUCAAAGCUAUUGGAUGCCGAUUUGGCUGCAACUCGAAAUCAGCUCAAUCAGGUUCAAGACGAUAUGGCCACAACUGAAAAGACUCCUGAAGAAAACAAGAACAGAUCAUCCAUAUCCCUUUUGGCUGCAGAGGAGGAAAUAAAUCAGCUAAAAAAGCAGCUUAAAUCUCUUCAAGCUCAAGAGGAAGCCCGCCACAGAAAUGCAGAGCACAGGAAUCCAGAGCAGCGAGGCCCAGAUGUUAAAGUCACACAGAGGAGGAGAAUUGGGAUGGAGCCAGUAGGUGCUGAUAAGUGGAGCAUGGACCAGAGCUCAGAAAUGCUAUCGGAUUAUGAGAAACAGCUCCGAACACUCAAAGAUGAGAUAGCAGUUCUGUCUGCUGAAAAAACUGCACUCCAGGGAAGCAAGUCCUCCAGGAGUCGGUCAACCAGUCCUGGCCCCCCCAGCCGCAGCCAGAGCCAGAGCCGCCGCCAGAACGAGAGACGGUGCAGCAGCGACCGGAGGCACCGCAGCGACAGCCGGGACAGCCGCGGCCGGAGCCUCAGCCGCAGUCGGAGAGACAGUCGGAGAGACGGCCGAAGAGAGGGCCGGAGAGACGGCCGGAGAGACAGCCGCGACCGGAGGGACAACUGCGACCGGAGUCGCGAGAGGAAGGACAGCCGUGAGAGGAAGGACAGCCGCGAGAGAAAGGACAGUCGGGAGAGGAAGGACAGCCGCGAGAGGAGGGGCAGCGGCAGCGGCAGCCGUAGCCGCAGCCGCAGCAGGUCCACCAGUCCCUCUGGGGCCUUGAAGGUCAGGACACCUUCCCCGAAUCGCGCCAAGCUGUCCAGCGUGGCUCGCAAGGCCGCGCUCCUGUCCCGGUUCAGCGACGCCUACUCCCAAGCUCGCCUGGACGCACAGUGCUUGCUGCGCCAGUGCAUCGACAAAGCCGAGAUGGUGCAGCGGAUCAUCUACAUCGCCACUGUGGAGGCCUUCCAUGUCGCUAAAAUGGCAUUCAGACAUUUCAAGAUCCGUGUGAGGAAAUCCUUGACACCAUCUUAUAUUGGGUCAAAUGACUUUGAGGAUGCUGUCUCAGAAUAUAUCAUUUGUCAUCUUGAUCUAUAUGAUUCUCAAAGCAGUGUUAAUGAUGUGAUCCGAGCCAUGAAUGUCAAUCCCAAGAUUUCCUUCCCUCCUGAAGUUGACUUUUGCCUCCUCAGCAAUUUCAUCCAGGAGAUAUGUUGCAUUGCCUUUGCAAUGCAGACUUUAGAUCCACCCCUAGACAUUGCAUUUGGGGCUGAUGGAGAAAUUUUUAAUGAAUGCAAGUACCGUCGCAGCUAUGACUCCGAUUUCACUGCUCCCUUAGUCUUUUAUCAUGUGUGGCCUGCGCUCAUGGAGAACGACAAUGUCAUUAUGAAAGGAGAAGCUGUCACCAAGAGAGGGGCUUUUGUACGGUGGCCUUGCAUAGUGACAAUUCGUCCCAAGUGUUUGAUUCACAAUGGAAUUCGGUUCGACCUAUAAGUCGAUGUCGAAGCAGGAGUUUAAGUCCUGUCUACCCCCAUAACCACAUUGGUAUAUCUCGAAGCCGAAGUCCAUCUCCAAUAAGAUGUGGAUUGCCAAGAUUUUAAAACCACCGGUCAUGUUCCUUUGUCACAGUACAUCUGCAGCUGCUGCCGCCCUCCCCAGUGCCUCCACUUGCCUGCUGUGUCUGCCUCAGACCUCACUUAAGAUAAUGUGAAAAGGCAAUUCUGUGUAUCACUCCACACAGAGAGUUAAAUGCUUUGGCUUAGCGCAUUUGUAACACCA
Erinaceus europaeus (western European hedgehog) is the source of this 2510-nucleotide RNA transcript. It is a transcript of the gene named spermatogenesis associated 18, with no coding region annotated. The record is from RefSeq and is a predicted model, not a curated record. Lineage: Eukaryota; Metazoa; Chordata; Mammalia; Eulipotyphla; Erinaceidae. The transcript has 13 exons.